Euleptes europaea (tarantolino) is the source of this 75-nucleotide non-coding RNA. Lineage: Eukaryota; Metazoa; Chordata; Lepidosauria; Squamata; Sphaerodactylidae. The record is from the annotation of a RefSeq genome assembly.
GGAGGGUCUUUGGCUCAGUGGUAGAGCAUCUGCUUCGCAUGCAGAAGGUCCCAGGUUCAAUCCCCGGCAUCUCCA